This 74-nucleotide transfer RNA is filed under the name Candidatus Pacearchaeota archaeon. Its description in RNAcentral is "tRNA-Thr". It matches the Rfam family "tRNA". Rfam says of the family: Transfer RNA (tRNA) molecules are approximately 80 nucleotides in length. Lineage: Archaea; Nanobdellati. The record is from RNAcentral.
GCCGGCGUAGCUGAGUGGCUUAGCAGCUGCCUUGUAAGCAGCAGACGGUGUUUCGAUUACAUCCGCCGGCACCA